RNAcentral lists this microRNA precursor (86 nucleotides) under Capsicum annuum. RNAcentral's name for it is "MIR8024 microRNA precursor family". It matches the Rfam family "MIR8024 microRNA precursor family". RNAcentral also lists the same sequence under 1 other name. The record is from Rfam by way of RNAcentral. Lineage: Eukaryota; Viridiplantae; Streptophyta; Magnoliopsida; Solanales; Solanaceae.
UUGGUGGAUUUGGAGACUUCAAUUUGCAGAUUUGGCAAAUUUGACGACGUCAACUUGCAAAUCUUGUAGAUAUAAAUUCUUCAACU